Molecule: ribosomal RNA, 253 nt
Filed under: uncultured bacterium
Lineage: Bacteria
Description: partial 16S ribosomal RNA
Rfam family: Bacterial small subunit ribosomal RNA
Source: RNAcentral
UACGAGGGGGGCGAGCGUUGUUCGGAAUUAUUGGGCGUAAAGGGUGUGUAGGCGGUUGUUUAAGUUUGGGGUGAAAUCUCCCGGCUCAACUGGGAGGGUGCGCCGAAUACUGAAUGACUAGAGUGCGGGAGAGGAAAGUGGAAUUCCUGGUGUAGCGGUGAAAUGCGUAGAUAUCAGGAGGAACACCGGUGGUGUAGACGGCUUUCUGGACCGUAACUGACGCUGAGACACGAAAGCGUGGGUAGCAAACAGG